Non-coding RNA from Pelobates cultripes (western spadefoot toad), 231 nucleotides. NCBI's taxonomy places the organism in Eukaryota, Metazoa, Chordata, Amphibia, Anura, Pelobatidae. The record is from the annotation of a GenBank genome assembly.
CGUCGAGUGAAUAAAGAUGGCUGCUGCAUAGUCAAUGAGACAUGUGCUUUAGGAAGGUAUUGAGAAUUCUUAAGUCACUUCCUUUCACAAAGGACCACAUGUAGUAUCCGCCUCCUAGAGAUGACCAUUAGGUAUUGGUUAUGUUACCUCUGUGGGUGGAUACUAGAUGGGGUUUCCAGAAACUAGAGUUUCAGUUUCAUGACUGGGUCGGAAGAAGCCAGGUGUCUUUAG